RNAcentral lists this ribosomal RNA (1548 nucleotides) under uncultured bacterium. RNAcentral describes it as "16S ribosomal RNA". It matches the Rfam family "Bacterial small subunit ribosomal RNA". The record is from RNAcentral.
AGAGUUUGAUUAUGGCUCAGAACGAACGCUGGCGGCGUGCCUAACACAUGCGAGUCGAACGGGAAUGUCGGGGCAACUCGACUAGUACCGUGGCGCACGGUGAGUAACACGUAGGUAACCUACCUAUCAGUGGGGAACAACUUCGGGAAACCGAGGCUAAUACCGCAUACGUCCCGCUGUCGUAUUGAUAGCGGGGGAAAGGUGGCCUCUACAUGUAAGCUAUCGCUGAUAGAUGGGCCUGCGUACCAUUAGCUAGUUGGUAGGGUAAUGGCCUACCAAGGCAACGAUGGUUAGCUGAUCUGAGAGGACGAUCAGCCACACUGGCACUGGAACACGGGCCAGACUCCUACGGGAGGCAGCAGUGGGGAAUAUUGCGCAAUGGGCGAAACGUGACGCAGCAACGCCGCGUGAGUGAUGAAGGCCUUCGGGUCGUAAAGCUCUGUCGGCAGGGGCGAAACUCCGGUGGAAAUAAUACUCCAUCGGUUUGACGGUACCUGCAAAGGAUGCACCGGCUAACUCCGUGCCAGCAGCCGCGGUAAUACGGAGGGUGCAAGCGUUGUUCGGAAUUACUGGGCGUAAAGCGCGUGCAGGUGGGCUAAGUAGUCGGGUGUGAAAUCCCUCGGCUUAACCGAGGAAGUGCGCCCGAAACCAUUAGUCUAGAGGUCCGGAGGGAUCGGGGAAUUCCCAGUGUAGAGGUGAAAUUCGUAGAUAUUGGGAGGAACAUCGGUGACGAAGGUGCCGAUCUGGACGGAUUCUGACACUGAUACGCGAAACAUGGGGAGCAAACAGGAUUAGAUACCCUGGUAGUCCAUGCUGUAAACGAUGGGUACUAGGUGUCUGGGUUUUGACCCCCUCGGUGCCGACGCAAACGCAUUAAGUACCCCGCCUGGGAAGUACGGCCGCAAGGUUGAAACUCAAAGGAAUUGACGGGGGCGCGCACAAGCGGUGGAGUAUGUGGUUCAAUUCGAGCCAACGCGAAAAACCUUACCUGGGCUUGACAUCUGGGGAAUCCUUCAGAGAUGAGGGAGUGCCCGCAAGGGAACCCCAAGACAGGUGCUGCAUGGCUGUCGUCAGCUCGUGUCGUGAGAUGUUGGGUUAAGUCUCACAACGAGCGCAACCCCUGCUCUUAGUUGCUACCAUUUAGUUGAGCACUCUAAGGGGACUGCCGGUGAGAAACCGGAGGAAGGUGGGGACGACGUCAAGUCCUCAUGGCCUUUAUGCCCAGGGCUACACACGUACUACAAUGGCUGGUACAAAGGGUUGCCAAACCGCAAGGUGGAGCCAAUCCCAAAAAACCAGUCUAAGUUCAGAUUGUUCUCUGCAGCUCGAGAACAUGAAGGUGGAAUCGCUAGUAAUCGCUGAUCAGCAUGCAGCGGUGAAUACGUUCCUGGGCCUUGUACACACCGCCCGUCACACCACGAAAGUUGUUUAUACCAGAAGUGCGUGACCUAACCGCAAGGGAGGAGCGUCCCAAGGUAUGAGCAAUGAUUGGGGUGAAGUCGUAACAAGGUAGCCGUAGGGGAACUGCGGCUGGAUCACCUCCUUUCU